This is a long non-coding RNA of Papaver somniferum (opium poppy), 659 nucleotides long. RefSeq lists it as uncharacterized. NCBI's taxonomy places the organism in Eukaryota, Viridiplantae, Streptophyta, Magnoliopsida, Ranunculales, Papaveraceae. The record is from RefSeq and is a predicted model, not a curated record. The transcript has 2 exons.
UGGUCUACAUAAAAACUGAGAACCUAAGGGGAGUUGAGCCUCGGAUUUCUUCUUCCUCUUUUCUCUUUUCGUCUCUCUCUGUGACUGAAACUCCAGGAAUAAAACAGAAAUUUUUCUUGCAUGAUUGAGAUUCGUGGUCUUAGAUUUCUGUUAAGCUGCAGAUGUCGUUGAUUUGUGUUGGAUAGUUUCAUAGACGAGAUGGAGCUGUUCUCCUCUUCUGAAUUGGUUUCUCUUGAAAUUUUCUGAGGUUAAAAAUCUAGAGAAUUUGUUGAGAAAUCUAAGGAGUCGAGCUUGGAAAACCACUAAUUCGUUGUUGUUGAUCUUUGUGUUGUUUGCAUGGAAGAGUUUGAUAAGAACAGUACACAAUGUAGAUAUGAGCUUGCAUGGUAAAUUUACUAAAUUGGUUGUAAAUGUCUGGAGUUCGAAUGGUGAUGCAUAUGCUGAACUUCUAUAUGGUUUCGAAGGAUGCUGUACGAUCUGAAUUUAUAUUUAAGAGAUCAAGUUUCAAUCAUUUUUCUUAUGUAUAACCAUGUAAUAUCUCUGUCGACAUCAUUGCACGAGUUAACAACUGUUGGGGUUCUAGUUUAGUAUUUGAUGCGAAUCUAGACAUCCAAGGGUGUGCCACAUUGAUUAUAUAUUAUUAUUUAUCCUCUGUAUAA